RNAcentral lists this ribosomal RNA (581 nucleotides) under Salmonella enterica. RNAcentral describes it as "partial 23S ribosomal RNA". It matches the Rfam family "Bacterial large subunit ribosomal RNA", at positions 711 to 1288 of the family's 2925-position model. RNAcentral also lists the same sequence under 1 other name. Lineage: Bacteria; Pseudomonadati; Pseudomonadota; Gammaproteobacteria; Enterobacterales; Enterobacteriaceae. The record is from RNAcentral.
AGACCCGAAACCCGGUGAUCUAGCCAUGGGCAGGUUGAAGGUUGGGUAACACUAACUGGAGGACCGAACCGACUAAUGUUGAAAAAUUAGCGGAUGACCUGUGGCUGGGGGUGAAAGGCCAAUCAAACCGGGAGAUAGCUGGUUCUCCCCGAAAGCUAUUUAGGUAGCGCCUCGUGAAUUCAUCUCCGGGGGUAGAGCACUGUUUCGGCUAGGGGGCCAUCCCGGCUUACCAACCCGAUGCAAACUGCGAAUACCGGAGAAUGUUAUCACGGGAGACACACGGCGGGUGCUAACGUCCGUCGUGAAGAGGGAAACAACCCAGACCGCCAGCUAAGGUCCCAAAGUCAUGGUUAAGUGGGAAACGAUGUGGGAAGGCCCAGACAGCCAGGAUGUUGGCUUAGAAGCAGCCAUCAUUUAAAGAAAGCGUAAUAGCUCACUGGUCGAGUCGGCCUGCGCGGAAGAUGUAACGGGGCUAAACCAUGCACCGAAGCUGCGGCAGCGACGCUUAUGCGUUGUUGGGUAGGGGAGCGUUCUGUAAGCCUGUGAAGGUGGCCUGUGAGGGUUGCUGGAGGUAUCAGAAG